AAAAAAAAAAAAAAAAAAAGAAGUCUGCGUGCAUCUGCGCAACGCAGACAUAAGUGCUCAGAAGAGCUUUUGGCCAAAAAACAAACACCACCUAACAAUUAGUAGUUUGUCCAUUUGCACAGUCUUAACGUAUGUCUCUGUACUCAUUUCGAGGAUUCUUCUGGAAGGCUGCUCGAAUAGGUGAGCGGUUGAGCCCAUGGGUAGCUGUUGGAUGUUUCACAAUGGGUGUCUCCAUUAUAUUUUUCUGA
RNAcentral lists this long non-coding RNA (248 nucleotides) under Helianthus annuus (common sunflower). RNAcentral describes it as "hypothetical non coding rna". The record is from RNAcentral. Lineage: Eukaryota; Viridiplantae; Streptophyta; Magnoliopsida; Asterales; Asteraceae.